This 381-nucleotide ribosomal RNA is filed under the name uncultured organism. RNAcentral's name for it is "partial 16S ribosomal RNA". It matches the Rfam family "Bacterial small subunit ribosomal RNA", at positions 525 to 896 of the family's 1533-position model. The record is from RNAcentral.
GUAGGGGCCGAAACCGUUGUCCGGAUUUAUUGGGCGUAAAGGGCUCGUAGGCGGUUCGACAAGUCGGCCGUGAAAACCCGGGGCGUCAACCCCGGGACGCCGGUCGAAACUGUCGUGACUAGGGUCCGGUAGAGGUGAGUGGAAUUCUCGGUUUAGCGGUGAAAUGCGCAGAUAUCGAGAGGAACACCAGUAGCGAAGGCGGCUCACUGGGCCGGUACCGACGCUGAGGAGCGAAAGCGUGGGGAGCAAACAGGAUUAGAUACCCUGGUAGUCCCACGCCGUAAACGUUGAGCACUAGGUGUGGCGGUAUUUAUCAACGUCUGCCCGUGCCGCAGCUAACGCAUUAAGUGUUCCGCCGUGGGGAGUACGGCCGCAAGGCUA